This 497-nucleotide ribosomal RNA is filed under the name uncultured bacterium. Its description in RNAcentral is "partial 16S ribosomal RNA". It matches the Rfam family "Bacterial small subunit ribosomal RNA", at positions 28 to 507 of the family's 1533-position model. The record is from RNAcentral.
GAUGAACGCUGGCGGCGUGCCUAAUACAUGCCAGUCGAGCGAACAGACGAGGAGCUUGCUCCUCUGACGUUAGCGGCGGACGGGUGAGUAACACGUGGAUAACCUACCUAUAAGACUGGGAUAACUUCGGGAAACCGGAGCUAAUACCGGAUAAUAUAUUGAACCGCAUGGUUCAAUAGUGAAAGACGGUUUUGCUGUCACUUAUAGAUGGAUCCGCGCCGCAUUAGCUAGUUGGUAAGGUAACGGCUUACCAAGGCAACGAUGCGUAGCCGACCUGAGAGGGUGAUCGACCACACUGGAACUGAGACACGGUCCAGACUCCUACGGGAGGCAGCAGUAGGGGAUCUUCCGCAAUGGGCGAAAGCCUGACGGAGCAACGCCGCGUGAGUGAUGAAGGUCUUCGGAUCGUAAAACUCUGUUAUUAGGGAAGAACAAAUGUGUAAGUAACUAUGCACGUCUUGACGGUACCUAAUCAGAAAGCCACGGCUAACUACGUG